UGCUCUUCCUUCUCCUUGAGCUUCAUGUGU
This 30-nucleotide non-coding RNA is filed under the name Mus musculus (house mouse). The record is from RNAcentral. Lineage: Eukaryota; Metazoa; Chordata; Mammalia; Rodentia; Muridae.